AGAACUCGGGUAUUAAUGACCCGGAGCCACAUGACGGAGCAUGACACAGCACUUUUGGGCACAAGGCAGGGCCCAGAGGGGUGCGUGGGGGCCGCAGCCCAGCCCCCAAGCCCCGCCAGCGGCUUUACUGGGGUGUAACAAACACACGAUAAACUGCGCAUAUUCCAGUGUUCAUGUGGAUGAGUUUGGACAUAUGCACACACUUCCGAAACCACCAGCACAAUCAAGACAGCAGACAUAUCCAUCGCCCCCAAGGGUGUCCUUGUGUCUUUUUGUCAUUCAUCCCUCCCGGCCGCCCCAUCCACACUCCCAUCGCCUGCCGACUGUGGCUGAUCUGCUUUCUGCGGCUGUGGAUUAGUUUGCGUUCUCUACAAUUUUCUGUAAGUGGAAUCAUGUGGUGUAUUCUUUACUGGGCUUCUUUUCCUCAACAUUAUGAUUUUGAGAGUUACCCACGUU
RNAcentral lists this long non-coding RNA (456 nucleotides) under Homo sapiens (human). Its description in RNAcentral is "long intergenic non-protein coding RNA 1270". The record is from RNAcentral. Lineage: Eukaryota; Metazoa; Chordata; Mammalia; Primates; Hominidae.